AUUCCAGAAGUGAUGGGCUUGCCUAUCACUCCGGCAGCAAGCGAAGGUGUCAUUGGCACCCGUGGCAUAGUCCCCCCGGCUAUGCCACGAUAUUUUUUU
Molecule: non-coding RNA, 99 nt
Filed under: Vibrio gallaecicus
Lineage: Bacteria; Pseudomonadati; Pseudomonadota; Gammaproteobacteria; Vibrionales; Vibrionaceae
Description: Translational regulator of tfoXVC
Rfam family: Translational regulator of tfoXVC
Source: RNAcentral